This is a non-coding RNA of Cricetulus griseus (Chinese hamster), 717 nucleotides long. The record is from RefSeq and is a predicted model, not a curated record. Lineage: Eukaryota; Metazoa; Chordata; Mammalia; Rodentia; Cricetidae.
AGGUCUGGCCAGUGGGACUCAGACUCCUUCUGCUGCCUGUGGAUCAAAAUGUAGAACUCUCAGCUCCUUCUCCAGCAUCAUGUCUGCCUGCAUGCCACCAUGUUUCCUGCCAUGAAGAUAAUUGACUAAACCUCUAAAACUGCCCUUGUAAACCCACACAUAAGCCACAUCCGAGACACUGGACACUGGAUCUGAUUCCUCGCCGACCUCUCCUGUGUGUUCAAACAGAAGGCUCUUUAGCCAGACUUACCUCCAGAGGUCCUGAGGAUGAGACCCAGGACCUCAAGAAUGCUACACAAGAGCUCUCUGUCACUUCAUAACACCCCAGCCACAAAGAAGUGAUGCCUGCUGUCCUCAGUGUAUCUUAUUGGGAGGCAUUUGAUCUCUGCUUGACCUAUGGAAAAAGAUGUUGACAUUGAUCACUUUGAUUUAAUUUGUUCUGCUCAGCCAAGACUUUAUAGCAUACUGGUUUUGCAUUAUGAUGACUAAUUGGUGAAAGACAUGUCUGUGUAAACAUCCUGUUUAGUUUCUGCCAUGUUUACUACUUGGCAUUUUACUCAAAGGCAAGGUUGGAAGUUUGCCUUGUCCCCAUUUACUGUUUUCUUUCUUUCCCACAAGUGUUUUAGUUAUUUUCGUGUAUGUGAGUAUUUUGCCGGCACGUUAUGUCUGUGUACCAUAUGCAUGCUUGGUGCCCAUGGAGGCCAGAGAGGGCAUCAG